GACGAACGCUGGCGGCGUGCCUAACACAUGCAAGUCGAACGGAGUUGAAAGGAGCUUGCUUUUUUCAACUCAGUGGCGGACGGGUGAGUAACGCGUGAGUAACCUGCCUUUCAGAGGGGGAUAACGUUCUGAAAAGAACGCUAAUACCGCAUAAGAUUGUAGCUUCGCAUGGAGCAGCAAUCAAAGGAGCAAUCCGCUGAAAGAUGGACUCGCGUCCGAUUAGAUAGUUGGCGGGGUAACGGCCCACCAAGUCGACGAUCGGUAGCCGGACUGAGAGGUUGAUCGGCCACAUUGGGACUGAGACACGGCCCAGACUCCUACGGGAGGCAGCAGUGAGGGAUAUUGGGCAAUGGGGGAAACCCUGACCCAGCAACGCCGCGUGAGGGAUGACGGUUUUCGGAUUGUAAACCUCU
RNAcentral lists this ribosomal RNA (413 nucleotides) under uncultured bacterium. RNAcentral's name for it is "bacterial SSU rRNA". It matches the Rfam family "Bacterial small subunit ribosomal RNA", at positions 28 to 434 of the family's 1533-position model. The record is from RNAcentral.